AGAGUUUGAUCAUGGCUCAGGAUGAACGUUGGCGGCGUGCCUAAUACAUGCAAGUCGAACGGUAGUUGAGCAUUCGUGCUUGAUGAGAGUGGCGAACGGGUGAGUAACACGUAACUGAUCUGCCCUUUAGACUGGGAUAACCUUUGGAAACAGAGGCUAAUACCGGAUGAGUUCGCGGUAGUUAGAGAGCCGUGAGGAAAGGCUAAUGCGCUAAGGGAUGAGGUUGCGGGCCAUCAGCUAGUUGGUGAGGUAAAGGCUCACCAAGGCGAUGACGGUUAGGGGAUCUGAGAGGGUGGCCCCCCACACUGGGACUGAGACACGGCCCAGACUCCUACGGGAGGCAGCAGUAAGGGAUAUUGCACAAUGGACGGAAGUCUGAUGCAGCGACGCCGCGUGGGUGAAGAAGGUUUUCGGAUCGUAAAGCCCUUUUCUAUGUGACGAGAGAGGACGGUAGCAUAGGAAUAAGUGUCGGCUAACUACGUGCCAGCAGCCGCGGUAAAACGUAGGACGCGAACGUUAUCCGGAGUUACUGGGCGUAAAGCGCGCGUAGGCGGUUGGUUAAGUUACCUAUGAAAGAUACAGGCUAAACUUGUAUUGGUUAGGCGAAACUGGCUAA
RNAcentral lists this ribosomal RNA (616 nucleotides) under uncultured Chloroflexota bacterium. Its description in RNAcentral is "bacterial SSU rRNA". It matches the Rfam family "Bacterial small subunit ribosomal RNA", at positions 8 to 640 of the family's 1533-position model. Lineage: Bacteria; Bacillati; Chloroflexota. The record is from RNAcentral.